RNAcentral lists this ribosomal RNA (450 nucleotides) under uncultured organism. RNAcentral describes it as "partial 16S ribosomal RNA". It matches the Rfam family "Bacterial small subunit ribosomal RNA", at positions 331 to 797 of the family's 1533-position model. The record is from RNAcentral.
GUACACUCCUACGGGAGGCAGCAGUGGGGAAUAUUGGACAAUGGGCGCAAGCCUGAUCCAGCCAUGCCGCGUGAGUGAUGAAGGCCCUAGGGUUGUAAAGCUCUUUCACCGGUGAAGAUAAUGACGGUAACCGGAGAAGAAGCCCCGGCUAACUUCGUGCCAGCAGCCGCGGUAAUACGAAGGGGGCUAGCGUUGUUCGGAUUUACUGGGCGUAAAGCGCACGUAGGCGGACUAUUAAGUCAGGGGUGAAAUCCCGGGGCUCAACCCCGGAACUGCCUUUGAUACUGGUAGUCUUGAGUUCGAGAGAGGUGAGUGGAAUUCCGAGUGCAGAGGUGAAAUUCGUAGAUAUUCGGAGGAACACCAGUGGCGAAGGCGGCUCACUGGCUCGAUACUGACGCUGAGGUGCGAAAGCGUGGGGAGCAAACAGGAUUAGAUACCCCAGUAGUCCCA